RNAcentral lists this ribosomal RNA (252 nucleotides) under uncultured bacterium. Its description in RNAcentral is "partial 16S ribosomal RNA". It matches the Rfam family "Bacterial small subunit ribosomal RNA", at positions 524 to 776 of the family's 1533-position model. The record is from RNAcentral.
UACGUAGGUGGCAAGCGUUGUCCGGAUUAUUGGGUUUAAAGGGUGCGUAGGUGGUCUAUUAAGUCAGUGCUGAAAUAUCCCGGCUUAACCGGGAGGGUGGCAUUGAUACUGUGGAGCUUGAGUAAAGUUGAGGUAGGCGGAAUUGAUGGUGUAGCGGUGAAAUGCUUAGAUAUCAUCAAGAACAUCGAUUGCGAAGGCAGCUUACUAAGUUUUAACUGACGCUGAGGCACGAAAGCGUGGGGAUCGAACAGG